CACAUUUAUGACUCAGUGUUUAGCAGUCAGUGGAGCUGCUGAAUCACACACUUAUGAAGAAUGUAUGCUGUUGUUUUUAUUCUCAUCUCCACUCACCUUGAUACAGUGUGUUCCCACAUAGUCAUGGUUUAAGAUGGUUAAGGCAGUGUCUGGAGAAGAAAACAGAAUAAGAGAAGAGUAAUAUCCCACCAUAGACUCAUGCUGACUUUUUACAAGCUUGAAGUGUGGCUCCAAAUGAAACAUCUGCAGGUGCCAUGUGGAGAACGACAGAUCCGUUACCCGGGCAACAGCUCCUUCUCCAGUUAACAUCAGAGGCAUCUUCCCCCAUCUAACUUUUCCUACUUAAGUCCCACUUGUGUCCUGUUCUGUGCCAGUUUGCUUUGUUGAGUCUGGUGUAGGUCGUGUGAUCUCCAGUCGAUGUAUUCCUGGGAUUUCCUGAAGACUUUGGUGGAGAAUGACAGAUCCGUUAAAACAGCUCGUUCUCCAACUAACAUCAUCAAUGGCACCUGCUCCCUAUCUACCUUUUUGCUACUUACGUCCCACUUUUGUUCUGUGCCAGUUUGUUUUGUUGAGUCUAAUGUGAGUCAUGUGAUCUCCAGUCAAUGUAUU
Xyrauchen texanus (razorback sucker) is the source of this 609-nucleotide long non-coding RNA. RefSeq lists it as uncharacterized. Lineage: Eukaryota; Metazoa; Chordata; Actinopteri; Cypriniformes; Catostomidae. The transcript has 3 exons. The record is from RefSeq and is a predicted model, not a curated record.